This 356-nucleotide ribosomal RNA is filed under the name uncultured soil bacterium. RNAcentral describes it as "bacterial SSU rRNA". It matches the Rfam family "Bacterial small subunit ribosomal RNA", at positions 26 to 373 of the family's 1533-position model. The record is from RNAcentral.
AGAGUGAACGCUGGCGGUAGGCCUAACACAUGCAAGUCGAACGGCAGCACGGUAAGAGCUUGCUCUUAUGGGUGGCGAGUGGCGGACGGGUGAGGAAUACAUCGGAAUCUACCUUUUGGUGGGGGAUAACGUAGGGAAACUUACGCUAAUACCGCAUACGCCCUUCGGGGGAAAGCCGGGGACCAGCAAUGGCCUGGUGCUGAUAGAUGAGCCGAUGUCGGAUUAGCUAGUUGGUGAGGUAAUGGCUCACCAAGGCGACGAUCCGUAGCUGGUCUGAGAGGAUGAUCAGCCACACUGGAACUGAGACACGGUCCAGACUCCGUACGGGAGCAGCAGUGGGGAAUAGUUGGACAAGU